This 1197-nucleotide ribosomal RNA is filed under the name uncultured organism. RNAcentral's name for it is "bacterial SSU rRNA". It matches the Rfam family "Bacterial small subunit ribosomal RNA", at positions 199 to 1426 of the family's 1533-position model. The record is from RNAcentral.
GAGUAAAGAUUUCGGUCGCUUUGGGAGGAGCUCGCUUACUAUCAGCUUGUUGGUAGGGUAAUGGCCUACCAAGGCUAUGACGGUUAGGGGGUGUGAGAGCAUGACCCCCAGCAUUGGCACUGAAACACUGGCCAAACACCUACGGGUGGCUGCAGUCGAGAAUCUUCCACAAUGGGGGAAACCCUGAUGGAGCGAUGCUGCGUGCGGGAUGAAGGCCUUCGGGUUGUAAACCGCUUUUGUAGGGGACGAAAUUUUUGACGGUACCCUUUCGAAUAAGAGGUUGCUAACUCUGUGCCAGCAGCAGCGGUAAUACAGAGACCUCAAGCGUUAUCCGGAUUUACUGGGCGUAAAGCGUCUGUAGGGGGUUUAUUAAGUUCCAAGUAAAAUUUCAAGGCUCAACUUUGAAUUCGUUUGGAAAACUAAUAAACUGGAGUCUAGCAGAGGUGCAUGGAACUUGUGGUGUAGGAGUGAAAUCCGUUGAUAUCACGAGGAACACCAAAGGCGAAGGCAUUGCACUGGGCUAGCACUGACCCUGAGAGACGAAAGCGUGGGGAGCAAAACGGAUUAGAUACCCGUGUAGUCCACGCCCUAAACGAUGAAUGCUAAAUGUUCGGGGAUUCGACCCCCUGGGUGUUACAGCUAACGCGUUAAGCAUUCCGCCUGGGAAGUACGGCCGCAAGGCUAAAACUCAAAGGAAUAGACGGGGAUCCGCACAAGCGGUGGAGCGUCUGGUUUAAUUCGACAGUAAGCGUGGUACCUCACCAGGGUUUGACAUCCCUUGACAGCCUUGGAAACAAGGUUUCCUUCGGGCAAGGUGACAGGUGCUGCAUGGUCGUCGUCAGUUCGUGCCGUGAGGUGUUCCGUUAAGUCGGGAAACGAACGAAACCCCUAUUGCAUGUUACAAUUUCUCAUGCAAGACUGCCCGGAUAUACUGGGAGGAAGGUGGGGAUGACGUCAGAUCUGCAUGGUCCUUAUACCCUGGGCGACACAGGCGCUACAAUGGCAGAGACAAAGGGUUGCAAAACCGCAAGGUGAAGCUAAUCCCAAAAACUUUGUCUAAGUUCGGAUUGAAGGCUGCAAUUCGCCUUCAUGAAGCUUGAAUCGCUAGUAAUCGUGAAUCAGCCACGUCACGGUGAAUAUGUUCCCGGAUCUUGUACUCACCGCCCGUCACACCAAGAGAGUUGGUAGCUCCCGAAG